UUGAAUGUACAUCUUGAUUCAGUGAGCGAAUCCUUGAUUUUCCAAAAGGUUGAAGUGGACUUGAUUUUCCACUUCUUGGGAUUUGAUUCAUUGGAUUUAGUAGAUUGAAGAAGCUUCCCCAACUUUGAGGCAAAGGUAAUAAAGGCGGCAAACAGGCGAGGGGCAGGAAGGAAGCGUGAU
Long non-coding RNA from Cucumis sativus (cucumber), 180 nucleotides. RefSeq lists it as uncharacterized. The transcript is spliced from 3 exons. The record is from RefSeq and is a predicted model, not a curated record. NCBI's taxonomy places the organism in Eukaryota, Viridiplantae, Streptophyta, Magnoliopsida, Cucurbitales, Cucurbitaceae.